CACAUAAGCACUCAGCUGCAUCAAAGUGAAAAGAACAGAAGCUCAUACAUGAAUCUACCUCAUCAGCGCAGGACUCUACACGAACCACUCUACUCUACAGAUGGCAAACUUUACUAUUGGAGUAAUACCUGUUGGAACGGGAGACUGAUUCUGAAGACAAUGACGAUAAAAGGAUGCCUUACACUACAAGCUGGCCGCAUUGGUUCAUUCAGUGUGUUACCUUUGGCAUCGAGGAACUCCGAUCCUGUUUCUGAGACCUUCACUGGUGCUCUGCAGUGUCAAGACGCCAGGAGGGGUGAGAGUAUUUUUAAAGUCCUGGCUUUGAACACUGGACAUGUGGAACUGCAGUGAAAGGACAGCCAUGCCGGUGGUCUGCUCUACAAUGUGCAGGAGACACAAAGGAGGGAAAUUGCAUUAAUAUUUGAAAUAAUGAAGCAGUGUGGUCAUUAGACUGGUCUCCUCUGCUUCCAUAGCAAUACAUUAAGGCUAGACAAGCGCCAUGUAUUUUACAUGGUCCUGUCAACGCAAAAGAUGGAUCCUGCGGCAUAAUGAUGUCCUCUUAAAAGGCUCUGUAGGUAGAAAGAAGAAAAAAAA
Long non-coding RNA from Amphiprion ocellaris (clown anemonefish), 594 nucleotides. The record is from Ensembl. Lineage: Eukaryota; Metazoa; Chordata; Actinopteri; Pomacentridae.